CCUACGGGAGGCUGCAGUGAGGAAUAUUGGUCAAUGGACGAGAGUCUGAACCAGCCAAGUAGCGUGAAGGAUGACUGCCCUAUGGGUUGUAAACUUCUUUUAUAAAGGAAUAAAACGAGGCACGUGUGCCUUUUUGCAUGUACUUUAUGAAUAAGGAUCGGCUAACUCCGUGCCAGCAGCCGCGGUAAUACGGAGGAUCCGAGCGUUAUCCGGAUUGAUUGGGUUUAAAGGGAGCGUAGAUGGGUUGUUAAGUCAGUUGUGAAAGUUUGCGGCUCAACCGUAAAAUUGCAAUUGAUACUGGCAGUCUUGAGUACCGUUGAGGUAAGCGGAAUUCGUGGUGUAGCGGUUACAUGCUUCGAUAUCACGAAGAACCCCGAUUGCGAAGGCAGCUUACUAAACUGUGACUGACAUUGAUGCUCGAAAGUGUGGGUAUCAAACAGGAUUAGAUACCCCGGUAGUC
This 460-nucleotide ribosomal RNA is filed under the name uncultured bacterium. RNAcentral describes it as "partial 16S ribosomal RNA". It matches the Rfam family "Bacterial small subunit ribosomal RNA", at positions 338 to 795 of the family's 1533-position model. The record is from RNAcentral.